GUUUAGGGGUAAACCUGAGAAACCCGAAAGGUCGAAGGUAGAAAUUCAUUCGCGUUUCAUUGCAAUCGUUGGCGGUUGUGUGACGGAAUUUUUCGCACACUCCGUUUUACGAUCCGCGAUGAACGCGUGCACUUUUCUACCGGUAGGACGUCGCAAUCCGUUGGGUGUCGGUCUACGGCGAAAGGUGGAGCCCGUUUGUGUUUUUUGACACGAGCGGACCCUUUCGUUUUUCCGACCGACUCGCUCGACGGUAUACGAAAGGUUUAAGGCCGCUCUCUUUUGAGCGUUCGACUCGCGGCAAGCGCGUCAGACGUGUCGGAAAUCGGACCUCGUGCCGGUUCUGACCUCUGAUGACUGUUGGCCGUGAAGUUCUUGAACAGACCUUAGGACCGAUUCGCGACGCUAUAGCUUUGGGUACUUUCAGGACCCGUCUUGAAACACGGACCAAGGAGUCUAGCAUGUACGCGAGUCAUUGGGAAUAACUAAACCUAAAGGCGUAAUGAAAGUGAAGGUUUUCCUCGCGAAGACCGAGGGAGGACGGGUGGAUUUCACCGUUAAAAGUGGCCAUCCUGCACUCCCGGGGCGUCUCGUUCUCAUUGCGAGAAGAGGCGCACCAAGAGCGUACACGCUGGGACCCGAAAGAUGGUGAACUAUGCCUGGUCAGGACGAAGUCAGGGGAAACCCUGAUGGAGGUCCGUAGCGAUUCUGACGUGCAAAUCGAUCGUCGGAACUGGGUAUAGGGGCGAAAGACUAAUCGAACCAUC
RNAcentral lists this ribosomal RNA (764 nucleotides) under Mesites fusiformis. RNAcentral describes it as "eukaryotic LSU rRNA". It matches the Rfam family "Eukaryotic large subunit ribosomal RNA", at positions 407 to 944 of the family's 3401-position model. Lineage: Eukaryota; Metazoa; Arthropoda; Insecta; Coleoptera; Curculionidae. The record is from RNAcentral.